UGUUAAUUGUCCUUAACUUCCAUAAACCUCCGUGGCUUCAAAUAUAAGAACAAGCAAUUCGUCUCAGCCAGUCAGCCUCCCUUUCCCCAUUGUUGAGCUAAUAAUCCAUCUUUGACACCUUUUUUUAAAGCAGAAAUGGCAUACGAUGAUCCCAAAACCCCACUUCUCCCCGUCAACGAUCGAAACCAACCGUCGUCACCACCGCCGCCGCCACCACCCUUUUCACCUAAAUCCAUGGCUACACUUAAAAAUUUCUACAUCCUGUUAGGUCCCCUUUUGUGUGCCGUAAUCUGCCUUUGUGUCACCUUCGAUGGCCCGACGACUAGCCGGAACAUGUUAGCCGUGACGGCGUGGGUGUUCGCUUGGUGGCUCACCGAGGCUGUGCCGAUGCCGAUCACCUCCAUAGCACCUCUCUUUUUGUUUCCGCUUUUCGGAAUUGCCUCCGCCGAUGGUGUUGCUCGGUCUUACAUGGACGACGUCGUUACACUGCUUCUGGGUAGCUUCAUGCUUGUUCUUGCUGUUGAACGGUACAACGUUCAUAGAAGAUUGGCCUUAAAUAUAACUUUGCGGUUCUGCGGUGAGCCAGUGAACCCACCUUUCCUCUUACUUGGCAUCUGCGCCACCACAGCCUUCGUCAGCAUGUGGAUGCACAACGUCGCCUGCGCCGUGAUGAUGAUGCCCGUCGCCACUGGGAUCCUACAACGCCUCCCCGUGAAUCCCACCGACGGGUCCGCCAGGGCCGCCACCCCUAUCAACAACUUCUGUAGGGCUGUGGUUCUUGGGGUCACGUACGCCGCUCCGAUAGGGGGAAUGAGCACCUUGACGGGGACAGGUGUCAACCUUAUAUUGGCUGCCAUUUGGAAGAGCACCUUCCCGGAAGCAAAGCCUAUCAGUUUCAACACGUGGUUCCUUUUCGGUUUCCCUUUGGCUUUGCUAAUAUUCUUGGCUUUGUGGGUCAUACUUUGUUUGUUGUAUUUGUCUAAAGGGUCUAGUAGGGCCUUAGCUGCUUACUUGGACAAAGCUCACCUCAAGAGAGAACUUGACAUUUUGGGUCCAAUGGCUUUUGCUGAGAAGAUGGUUUUGGCUGUCUUUGGGACGACGAUAGCUUUGUGGAUGACCAGAAGCAUAACAGAAGACAUUCCAGGAUGGGGAGCUCUCUUUCAUGGCCGCGCAGGCGAUGGAACUGUCAGUGUAAUGGUGGCUACCCUUUUGUUCAUCCUCCCGAACGGGAAGCAAAAAGGUGAGAAACUGAUGGACUGGAAUGAAUGCAAGAAACUACCAUGGAACAUAAUUUUGUUACUUGGUGCUGGUUUCGCCAUCGCCGACGGCAUGCAAUCUAGCGGACUCGCCGACAUAUUAUCCAAAGCCUUAGAUUUCUUGGAACAAGUCCCGUAUAUCGCUAUCGCUCUCGUCGUGUGUCUAAUUAGUGCUAUAAUCACUGAGUUCAUAACAUCGAACGAUGCGGCCGCAACACUCUUGGUUCCACUUUUAAGCCAAAUGGCAAGGACUGCGAAUGUUCACCCGCUGGCGCUUAUGGUUCCGGGAGCCAUCGGGUCACAAUUGGCUUUUAUGCUUCCCACCGGGACUCCGCCGAAUAUUGUCGGGUUUACGACGGGGCAUAUCGAUAUCAUGGAUAUGAUGAAGACGGGGUUGUUGCUUAAGAUUGUUGGUACCGCAAUUGUAUCCUUGCUAAUGCCUACGCUUGGUGCUUAUGUUUUUGUAACAAAAGGAGGACUUCAAUAGCUGCAAAAAAAUGCAAGGGAAAGUGUGAUUGAUAUACGUUUGUAGAUCUAUUUAGUGGGUGUCGUUGUUGUUUUCACAAGUCAUGAUAAGCAAAUGACGAUGUCUGUCAUCUCUAAAACUCCACCGACCACUAGCGGUUUCUCUUGAACAGUGGUUUGGUGGAUGCUCAGUUCUUUUGUCAAUUUUGCCCGCCCGCCACCUUUGACCAUCCAGGGCUGAUUUCCUUCUCGUGAUAGUUGCUUGCAAUUACUCUAGAUAUGUCGUGCUUGAGUUAUGACAAAACUCAUUGUCAAUGUGUUGUAAUAUUUUGUUGAUGUUAAAACUUAUAAUAAGUGUUUGUUAUUUUUUUUUACCUAAAUUAUAUGAUCCCAUUUAUGAAA
Gossypium arboreum is the source of this 2123-nucleotide RNA transcript. It is a transcript of the gene named tonoplast dicarboxylate transporter-like, with no coding region annotated. The transcript has 8 exons. The record is from RefSeq and is a predicted model, not a curated record. Lineage: Eukaryota; Viridiplantae; Streptophyta; Magnoliopsida; Malvales; Malvaceae.